UACAGCCAUAUCACAUUGAAACACCAGUUCCCAUAUGAUCAACAAAGUUAAGCUAUGUUGAACUUAGUCAGUACCUAGAUGGGUGACUGCUUGGAAAUACCAGU
Molecule: ribosomal RNA, 104 nt
Filed under: Acanthosepion pharaonis
Lineage: Eukaryota; Metazoa; Mollusca; Cephalopoda; Sepiida; Sepiidae
Source: RNAcentral